This 45-nucleotide small RNA is filed under the name Acidobacteriia bacterium SbA2. Its description in RNAcentral is "Solibacteres bacterium SbA2 Acido-Lenti-1". It matches the Rfam family "Acido-Lenti-1 RNA". Lineage: Bacteria; Pseudomonadati; Acidobacteriota; Terriglobia. The record is from RNAcentral.
CCCAGGGCGUUGCCCUGGGCUUUGAUAGGUCGCCCCUUUGGGGCU